Molecule: long non-coding RNA, 1362 nt
Organism: Beta vulgaris subsp. vulgaris (sugar beet)
Lineage: Eukaryota; Viridiplantae; Streptophyta; Magnoliopsida; Caryophyllales; Amaranthaceae
Exons: 2
Source: RefSeq, a predicted model, not a curated record
AAUCAUUUAAAUUGUCUGCCCAAAGUAAAAAAAAAAAAAAAUUCCAACUCACGCGUUCGCCAACCAAUAUCACGCUUUUCCCUUUCAAUUUCCCAAACCCCAUGAACUGGUAGUAUGGUACCUAUGUCGUUCCUUAUUCCCAAGAUAAUUAAAUCUUCUCCAUUACAAUUCUCAAAAAAAUAAAGAUUACAAAGAUAGUUUCUUUUCUGGUUUACCCAUUUAACAAAGAAAACAAGUAAUAAAACAACAAUUAUAGAUGAACAUACGAACGAGAAUGAAAGAAACUCAUGUUGAAAAGUCGUGAAAGAGAGAUUAAAGGAAUGAGGAGAGAGAAAGAAGGGUUUUGAUGGGAUAAGAGAAGUGAAGCUGCAGCAAAUUGAAGAAAAAAACUUACAGAGAAUGGAUGAAUAUGGUGGGUGGCAAUGGCUGAAUGGCACUUGACAGAGAAUGGAUAAUUUAUAUAAUUAUUUUUUGAGGGGCCCCUAACUUGAACAAGACGGCCCUGUUCCGCAGCACUGCCCCUAGACCCACACCUCCACCCUCCAUCACAUAAGCAUCAGUGUUGAGCUUCAUGUUUCCCGAUCCCGGUGGCAACCAUUCAGCCCGCGACACAAUAUCCCGGAAAUCUCGAAGAUAGAGAGUAGUGGAGAUCAGUGGAUGAACGAACAUUAAUCACAUGCUAAUCCGCGGCACGUUUUCACACUAGUAAUUAAUUAUCGAGCCACUCAAAAUUAGCUAGUCCGAAAGAUUGAAAAAUCAUGAAUCGAUCUAUAUUCAUCAACAUAUUAGUGAUAAUCUCAAGUGUCCAAGAGGCGGGCGCGGGACGUACAAAUAUGUAUCAUGAGGUAUUGUGUUCAUUCUUUUAUCAAAUUCCCAAUUAAUAAUUAAAGUGGAUAGAAAUCCAUGGGAAACAUUGACAAAGGUGGAGCCUUUCACUUCCUACACAAACAUAUAAGAUGAAAUGACUCAAGAUGAAGCUACUGAAGUAAGAGAAGAACUAAAUUCCGGUAUAUUCUGCCGUUACUUGGACGACCUUCACAACUAAUGCCAGAUUUUCAAUUGCUUCUCUCGAGAGCAAGAAUCACAACCUUCACAAAACAGAAAUCCAAUAGAAUGAUAACUUCUCUAUUUGUAUUGUUACUUUUAGAUAUACAUUUUAGAAUUUGAAUUUGUGUGCAAUGACUUGAAUAUUGGUCUGCCUUGGUUGAGUUUGUUGUAACUUUUCAUUAAACUAAUUAUGUACCUUAUCAAUUUGGGGUAAAAAUUAUCACUCAAUCUCAUGUACGAAAGCACACCAUAUAGCACGCAAAGUGUUAGACAAUAUGCUUCAAUGAAGUCAGAGUAUCCAAUUGUCUUUCUAUA